UCAGCCAACGUCCACCAAGAACAAAGACGUGAAUAGCUAUGGCAAUUCCGACAGCGGAGAAAGUGUAAGAUUUCUUCAGUUUGGGUGAGAGAGAGAGAGAGAGAGAGAAGGGGAUUGAAGAGAAGACGGAGACCAACGUCUGGAAUUUUCCCACCAACAAGAUCCCUCUGCUUCUUCCUCUGUCACUCCACAAUCUCUCCAUUGUAGAUAUCAGAAAUCCCCUUUUGAGGCCCAAUAUACUAAAGCCCAUAUUCAAUUUGGACUAGCCCAUUUGAACGCCCAAUAUACUAAAGCCCAUAUUCAAUUUGGACUAUUUCCAUAAGUCUCUACUAAAGAAGAAAUCAAAAUCAAUCAACAGAGAAAGCUCGAGAGAUCAGUCCAUCGAAAAUGGCGCAAGUUCCGAAUUUGGAUAAUGCUCCGAUAAAUCUGAAAUCGUUAAGAGAUCAAUCACAAAGAGAGCUUAUUACGAUUUUGAAGAACAUUCGAGGGAAGAAGUGUUUGGUAAUUGAUCCUAAGCUUGGAGGUUCACUCUCCCUUAUUGUACAGAGCUCACUCGUCAAGGAGCAUGGGGCUGAAUUGCGGCAUCUUAAUGCGGAACCAGUUCAAACUGAUUGCUCAAAAGUAGUUUAUCUAGUUCGAGCCCAGCUUGACUUGAUGAAGUUCAUUUGCUCACACAUCCAUAAUGAUAUUUCUAAAGGGAUUCAAAGGGAUUAUUUUGUUUAUUUUGUCCCUCGUCGUGCAGUUGUAUGUGAGAAGAUACUUGAGGAAGAAAAAAUUCAUCAUUUGUUGACUAUAGGCGAGUAUCCCCUUUAUUUGAUUCCACUGGAUGAGGAUGUAUUAUCCUUUGAGCUUGAUGUUGCUUACAAAGAGCACCUAGUUGAUGGUGACACUACCUCCCUGUGGCACAUAGCAAAAGCUAUCCAUAAACUCGAGUUUUCCUUUGGACUGAUUCCAAAUGUGAGGGCCAAAGGGAAAGCAUCAGUUCGUGUUGCUGACAUUUUAAAUCAGAUGCAGUCGGAAGAACCAGUGAACACAUCUGAGAUGGGUGUGCCUGAAAUAAAUACUAUCAUACUUUUGGACAGAGAGGUGGAUAUGAUCACUCCAAUGUGUACGCAGUUAACAUAUGAAGGGCUGUUAGAUGAGUUUCUUGGUAUCAAUAAUGGUGCUGUGGAACUAGAUUCAUCUAUUAUGGGUGUCCAGCAAGAAGGCAAGGGGCCCUUAAUUCAAGUGACAAAUUGUUCAAAGAGAUACGGGAUCAGAACUUUGAAGUUGUUGUCCAGGUUCUACGUCAAAAAGCAACUUCCAUGAAGCAAGAUUACACAGAGAUGCAGACCACGAACCAAACAGUCUCCGAAUUGAAGGAUUUUGUCAAAAAGCUUAACUCAUUGCCGGAAAUGACUAGUCACAUAAAUCUUGGUCAGCAUUUAACUACGUUUACAUCCAAACCCUCAUUCCUUGGCCGACUUGAUAUGGAGCAAACUCUUGUCGAGGCUGAAAGCUAUGAUAUAUGCUUUGAGUACAUUGAGGAGAUGAUCCAUAAGCAGGAACCACUUAUUAAUGUUCUACGUCUUCUCAUCUUGUUCUCAAUAACAAAUUCAGGGUUGCCGAAGAAGAAUUUUGAAUAUUUGAGACGAGAACUGCUUCACAGCUAUGGUUUUGAGCAUAUAGCAACCUUGAAUAAUUUGGAGAAGUCUGGAUUGCUUAAAAAACAGGAGACUAAAAGCAACUGGAUAACAAUUAAACGUGCUCUGCGGCUUGUAGUGGAGGAUACUGAUACUGCUAAUCCCAAGGAUAUAUCCUAUGUCUUCUCGGGGUAUGCACCUCUCAGUGUUCGCCUGGUUCAACAUGCAAUUCGAUCUGGGUGGCGCCCUAUUGAAGAAAUAUUGAAGUUGCUGCCGGGUCCACACUCAGAUAUUAAGAGGGGUGGAUUUUCCAGCAGUCCGUCACUGGACUCAUUAAACGGGUCUUUGCAUAACUCGGACAAAGUCGUUGAUGGAAGGCGUUCUUUGGUUCUUGUCGUUUUCAUUGGUGGAGUGACAUCUGCAGAGAUCUCUGCUCUUCGCUUCCUGAGCGCCCAGGAAGGGAUGGCAUAUGACAUAAUUGUAGCAACUGCAAAAAUUGUCAACGGAAGCACAUUGACAGAAACAUUUGUGGAGAAAUUGGGAUGAUUUGCUAAGACUUGUUUUGGUUGAUUAUCUCUGGGAAAUCUCAACUGCUUGCUCAAUAGGCACGCAUAGUUUUUGGUGCUGCAUUAUAUGUGAGAAGAUCGAGUAGACUUAUCGUUCCCAAGAUAUUUCUCUCAUGGCCAUUUGUCAAAAUCAUUUCCGCACGGAUUUGUAACGAACACAACUAUGUAUCUUUAUUGAGGUAUUGUUCUUCGAGUUGUAGCGAGAUUGAAGCGUGAUCAGUUUGUUGUCUAAAUUACGUUUGGUACUUUUGAGCAAUUUAAGGGAACAAGGUGUGCUUAUUCUCUCUUUUUCGACCAA
Molecule: RNA transcript, 2486 nt
Organism: Solanum dulcamara
Lineage: Eukaryota; Viridiplantae; Streptophyta; Magnoliopsida; Solanales; Solanaceae
Gene name: vacuolar protein-sorting-associated protein 33 homolog
Exons: 24
Source: RefSeq, a predicted model, not a curated record